This 800-nucleotide ribosomal RNA is filed under the name uncultured Sphingobacteriales bacterium. RNAcentral describes it as "bacterial SSU rRNA". It matches the Rfam family "Bacterial small subunit ribosomal RNA", at positions 58 to 850 of the family's 1533-position model. The record is from RNAcentral. Lineage: Bacteria; Pseudomonadati; Bacteroidota; Sphingobacteriia; Sphingobacteriales.
CAAGUCGUGGGGCAGCAUGACUGUAGCAAUACAGUUGAUGGCGACCGGCAAACGGGUGCGGAACACGUACACAACCUUCCUUUGAGUGGGGAAUAGCCCGGGGAAACCCGGAUUAAUACCCCGUAACAUAAUGAAGUGGCAUCACUUUAUUAUUAUAGCAGCAAUGCGCUUUAAGAUGGGUGUGCGACUGAUUAGGCAGUUGGCGGGGUAACGGCCCACCAAACCUACGAUCAGUAACUGGUGUGAGAGCACGACCAGUCACACGGGCACUGAGACACGGGCCCGACUCCUACGGGAGGCAGCAGUAAGGAAUAUUGGUCAAUGGACGCAAGUCUGAACCAGCCAUGCCGCGUGGAGGAUGAAGGUCCUCUGGAUUGUAAACUUCUUUUAUCUGGGAAGAAAUCCACGAAUUCUUUUGUGGUUGACGGUACCAGAUGAAUAAGCACCGGCUAACUCCGUGCCAGCAGCCGCGGUAAUACGGAGGGUGCAAGCGUUAUCCGGAUUCACUGGGUUUAAAGGGUGCGUAGGUGGGUUGGUAAGUCAGUGGUGAAAUCUCCAGGCUUAACUUGGAAACUGCCAUUGAUACUAUCAAUCUUGAAUACCGUGGAGGUCAGCGGAAUAUGUCAUGUAGCGGUGAAAUGCUUAGAUAUGACAUAGAACACCAAUUGCGAAGGCAGCUGGCUACACGAAUAUUGACACUGAUGCACGAAAGCGUGGGGAUCAAACAGGAUUAGAUACCCUGGUAGUCCACGCCCUAAACGAUGGAUACUCGACAUACGCGAUAUACUGUGUGUGUCUGA